CAGUCGCCGCGGUAAUACGUAGGUGGCAAGUGUUGUCCGGAAUUAUUGGGCGUAAAGGGCUCGCAGGCGGUUUCUUAAGUCUGAUGUGAAAGCCCCCGGCUCAACCGGGGAGGGUCAUUGGAAACUGGGAAACUUGAGUGCAGAAGGGGAGAGUGGAAUUCCACGUGUAGCGGUGAAAUGCGUAGAGAUGUGGAGGAACACCAGUGGCGAAGGCGACUCUCUGGUCUGUAACUGACGCUGAGGAGCGAAAGCGUGGGGAGCGAACAGGAUUAGAUACCCCCGUAGUCCCUGUCUCUUAUAC
Molecule: ribosomal RNA, 301 nt
Filed under: uncultured bacterium
Lineage: Bacteria
Description: partial 16S ribosomal RNA
Rfam family: Bacterial small subunit ribosomal RNA
Source: RNAcentral